GUAAGUGUCUGUCAUUUGCUUCCAGAAUCUGAAACAUCUGUAGCUUCAUUCACAUAGUUUCUCUAGCUGGUAACAUCCUGCCUGCUGGGCACACUGCCGGGCUCCAUGCAAGUUCUAUGUUGCAUGCUCCCAGGGUGCCAGUCUUUCACUGCUGCCCAACUUCACAACGAUUCCCAGCAUCCUCCUAUUGCAUUCUGUUUAAGAAGCAAGUAAGGUUAUUUGAGAAGCAAUGGAGUGCACUUUCACGCCUUCGUAUGUUC
Molecule: long non-coding RNA, 260 nt
Organism: Bombina bombina (fire-bellied toad)
Lineage: Eukaryota; Metazoa; Chordata; Amphibia; Anura; Bombinatoridae
Exons: 3
Source: RefSeq, a predicted model, not a curated record